GUUAAUACAUCAUUAGUUAGUUUACUAUACGAUUGGCUACAAGUGCUGUCUUCAUGUGAGAUCAGAGAUACAAAUUGACCUGGGGUAUAAAAAUGUGGAGUAAAUCAGCACAACUUUAUUGACCUUCAGUGGAGCUCUGUUGCUUUACACCAGCUGAAGAUCUGGCGCACUGGAUGCAUCGGGAGACAAACCUUGUUGUCACUCUGUAUGUCCGAGGUGUUUACUCGAGAUUAAUUAGUGUUCCUGGGGGAGACAGAGGAUAGAGAAGCGAAC
Molecule: long non-coding RNA, 273 nt
Organism: Trachemys scripta elegans
Lineage: Eukaryota; Metazoa; Chordata; Testudines; Emydidae
Exons: 3
Source: RefSeq, a predicted model, not a curated record